Long non-coding RNA from Chiroxiphia lanceolata (lance-tailed manakin), 650 nucleotides. RefSeq lists it as uncharacterized. The transcript is spliced from 2 exons. The record is from RefSeq and is a predicted model, not a curated record. Lineage: Eukaryota; Metazoa; Chordata; Aves; Passeriformes; Pipridae.
UGCGCUGGUGAGACCCACCUGCGGCGCGGUGUCCCCGCGGAGAGCAGUGACGGGCGGUGUCUCAGCCGUCGGUGUUGGGGCCGGUGCUGUUCAGCGCCUUUGUCAGUGACGGGGACAGCGGGAUCGAGGGCACCCCCAGCAAGUUUGCUGAUGACACCGAGCCCUGCGUGCGGUUGACACGCUGGAGGAAAGGGAUGCCAUCCAGAGGGACCUUGGCACAGCUGAGAGACGGGCUUGUGUGAACCUCAUGGAGUUCAACAGAGCGAAGCGCAAGCUUGUUUAGACUCCUGUUCAAAGUAGAAUUGUAGAAAACACCUCUGUUUAAGAACAUUAUACCCUAGACCCGAACAACAAGAUACCUCCAAUAGACAAAGCAACCUUCAAGCCCAGAACUUUGGACGAGCUCCAAGGACUAUAUGUAGUACCACGAAGAAGAUGACGGUGAGGAAAAAGGGCUCUCAAGGACCCCUGAUUCAAUUUCCAGAGGGGUGUGGUGGGGGCAGAACUGAGAAGGAUCUGGGGAGGGUGGAUGAGUCUGGGAUUGAAUGGACCAUACUGUAAGGUUGUAGAACCACUGCCUGGGUGCACAUGAGUGUCUGUGUAUUCCCCUGGGCCUGAGGGCUGUUAUUAAAAGACCUGCUCUUACCUAA